Pongo pygmaeus (Bornean orangutan) is the source of this 16581-nucleotide long non-coding RNA. RefSeq lists it as uncharacterized. The transcript is spliced from 4 exons. The record is from RefSeq and is a predicted model, not a curated record. Lineage: Eukaryota; Metazoa; Chordata; Mammalia; Primates; Hominidae.
CGUGGCUUCCGGCGUUUGGCGGGGUCUUUGUCUCUCGCUGGCGCUGGCACAGGAGCUUGGGAUCCGUCUCCUCUUUCGUCUCCUCCACCUUGGGAGCCCCGGGCUACUCUCUCACAGCCCCUGUUGCCCUGCGACCUGUAGGUCCUUGGGGGCGCAUAGUUAAGGUGCCAGGACAUCCUGGAAGCUGGGAAAUGGUGAGUAUGCGGGGUUCGGCAUCCUGAGAGGGGAGAGCAGCCUGCGAAACCGGCAGGACCGGCCUCCCCACGGUUAGCUCCCAGUCUCCCGCAGCUUGGCCCUCAAUCCCCUGUGGCCGCAAGAUGGCCGCUGGGCCAGCAGCGAGGACCCCCACGUCCGGCCCGGCCCAUCCGGUCCUGUCCCUGGGCAGCGCCCUGCUCUGCGCCCACAGCCAUGAGUAUUUCCCAGAUUGUUCAGGGAUGCCAGGUGGGUCAUCAGGGAAAAACCGAGACUGGGUGUUUGCGUGGGAGGAGCUGCGGCCCGUGGCGUCCACAGUCUCUCUUGUUAAAAAUUAACGGGAGUCUAUGUUAAAACGUUAACCAGUUUAUCUGAACAAACAGUGACUGGUGAAAUGGAAAGCACCCAGCCAUGAUUUGUGGUCCAACCGAGGGGCAUAAAGGAAAGGCUUUUAUAAGAUGCAUGAGAAAGCAACCCAAAUUCAUAAAUUGUUUCCGGUUAUGUAGUCGCCUUAUUUGAACUAUCCAGAUGGAAAUUUCCUAGUUACAUAUUCAGAGGUUAAUUGCAUGUUUGUCAUUGGUUAAACCCGCAUUUUGUUUCAGGCUAAGAUAAUGGUUUAUAGGAAAUGUAUUUGAGUUAGGUUUUAGAUUUUUUUUUUUUAACCUAUGAACACAGGGCACUAGAGCCACUUUAGUCUAGUUUUCUGCUCUUUAAUUAUUUGAACACUCCAGAAGAGGACUGGUUUUCUCCUGUUUUUUUAAUGUAUGGCAAAUGGAACCUCUAAUCGACCAACCUGUUUUUCAGCCUAACUCAGACUUGCAGUAAAAUUCUAAGGUCCCAUUUUCUUUGCUGCAUUCUCAAAUGCAACACAUGAGACCAGCUUUCCCUUGCCAAUUUACAAUGCUAUUAACUAUUUGUCCUUUACUAUACAUUUAAUUAAAGUUUUCUGUUAUUGGAUUUCUUUCUACUUCUCCCUACAGUUCUGGCAAUAUUUGCUUUUUAUAUUUAGAAGCCUCCCUUUUGGGCACAUAAAUAUAUAUAGCUAUAUUCUCUUGACAAAUUAACGUCUAUUAUUACAGUAUGGUAAACUCAUUUCAUGCUUGUGAGAGACAUUGCUAGAAAGUCUAUUUUGUCUAAUUUAAGCAUAACUACCAUUGCAUUCCUUUGAUUAUUAUUUGCAUGGAAUAUCAUUUUCUAUCCUUUCACUUUUAGCCUAUGCUCUUAAUUCAUAAUUGAGUCUCCUGUAAGCAGCAUAUUACCAGGUUUAAAAGAUUCAUUUAUCUACUCUGUCUGCUUUAGUGUCUUUUGGCUGCUAUAACAGAAUAUCACAGACUGGUAAUAAAGAAUGGAAUUUUGUUUGACUCAUAAUUCUGGAGGCUGGGAAGGCAAAACAACAUGAUACUGGUAUUUGUUGAAGGUCUAGUUGCUGGAUAAUAACUUGGCCAAAGAUGUGAGGGAGAGAGAGCUUUUUUUAAAAUGCAUAACAGAUCCAUUCUUGUUAUAAUUAACCCAUUCCCAUAAUAACAACAUUAGUCCAUUCAUGAGGGCAGAGUUCUUAUAGCUUAAUUAAUUUUUAAAGGUUCCACCUCUUAAUUCUAACACAUUGGCUAUUAAAUUUUAUCCUAAAUUUUGGAGAUGACAUUCAGUCUACAGCAGUAUCUGUUUAGUAGAUAAUUUAAUCUUCUUAUUUGUAAGGUAGUGAUUGGUAAGCAGUUACCAUUGUAAAUUUGUAGUUUUCUGUCCAUUUUGAAUUUGCUUCUUUUUUUUCUGGUUCUGUCUUUCCUGUGGUAUUGUUAAUUUUUGUUGAGACAAAGUUAUACUUUCUUGCUCAGACUGAAGUGCAGUUGCAUAUCACAGCUCACUGUAGCCUCAACCUCCUGGGAUCAAGCAAUCCUCCCAACUUAGCCGCCCAAGUAGCUUGGACUACAGACACACACCACAACACCCAAGGAGCUUAUGAUUCUUCCACCUUGGCCUCCCAAAGUGUUGGAAUUAUAAGCAGAAGCCACCAUAUCCAAUGUGUAAUUUUUGUUGUUUGUAUAUGCUUUAAUUACUUUCUCUCUUUCUGUUACAAUUUUUUUCCUAGUGGUUAUCAUGAGACUUAUAUAAAACAUCUUGUAUUUUAAUAGUCUGGUUUAAGAUGAUAACAGUUUAGAGUAUUCUGAAUUUUGGUAUGUAUUUAGCAUUUUUAGUGACAUUUAUACUUUAGUAUUUUUCAUAUUGGUAGUUAGCAUUUCAUCUUAUCAAUGUGAAGAUUUCUUCUAGACCAUGGCUGGAGAAGUAAAGAAAGUGGGUUUUGCCUGAUUCAGGGACUAUAGAGAGAACCAAGUUCUGCAGGCCUGUCACCUGUCUCAGGUGAGUAUGAAUUCUCUUGUGUUUUUGACAGAUAGUUGCAGUGGCAGGACCAAAGUCAAAUGAGUUAUAGGCAAGUCUACAGUAAGAUGUGGCAGUAUUCUGUUUUGAAGCCGGGACCAUGAUUGGCAAGCUUGCCACUUGGUCAAGUGCUUACCCUCUGAAGAUGUCUUCCUUGGUCUUUGCCUCCAGCUGGGUGUCACAAACUCUGAACUGGAUUCCAAGGCUUACAUGAAUGCACUUAUGUUUGCUGUGGCAGCUGCAUUAUGUUGUGAGGGAUGUGCAUGCAGAACCACCCAUUCUGUCGUCUUGCUUAUGUUACUCUCGUUUAUAUUUCACUUUCUGAAAUGAAUGUAAAGCUGGUGAUUUUUAGAUUCAAAAAUUCUAAAAUAAAUUGCUGAAAUUUACACAUUAUGUAAGCUAUUAAUAAAAUUUCUUGUAGGUGAAACAUAUUUAUUAAAAUUUUUGUGUGUAAUUUCAAGCUUACUGCAGGCAGAAAGGAAUCAUUAACAUUUAUAUUCUUUUUUUAGUCUGUAUCUAAAUGAUGGUAUUUUUAAUUCCAGAUAUUUACUUUAUACUUCAGUAAUGCUCAGCGUAUUUUGCAAAAUUUUUGUUGUUCUUUUAUUUCGAAACAUAAGGCUUUUUUAGCUCCUGAAAACUAUAUUAUAGUCAUAGAGUUUUAUUAUAUUUUGUGGUAAGAAGAGCAGAAACAUAUUGAGGACAUAAUUAAAUUCUCCUAUCUUUUUAAUGAUUAUUAAUUAAAUUCUUCUAAUUAGAGCCUGUUAUUAAUGAUUGUAAUGUAUUUUCUGUAUAAUUUUACUGCAAUUUAUUAAUUUCCAAUGACUUAGAAUGUCUGCUUUUCAUGAGUGCAUGCAGUUGAAUGAUGUAGAUAUCUAAAGGGUAAUUUUUUGGCCGGGUGUGGUCACUCAUGCCUGUAUUCCCAGCACUUUCGGAGGCCGAGGUGGGUGGAUCACGGGGUCAGGAAAUCAAGACCGUCCUGACUAAUAUGGUGAAACCCCGUCUCUACUAAAUAUACAAAAAAUUAGCUGGGCACAGUGGCGGGCGCCUGUAUUCCCAGCUACUCGGGAUGCUGAGGCAGGAGAAUGGCAUGAAUCCAGUGGGCAGAGCCGAGAUCACGCCACUGCACUCCAGCCUGGGCGACAGAGCAAGACUCUGUCUCAAAAAAAAAAAAAGUUAUUUUUCAUUGUAAAUCCAUGUUUUUUUCAGGAUUUUAUGCAUUAAAAUCUCUCUUCUUAUUUUCAAUUGCGUGUUAUUGCGUUUCUUUUCUUGGGUAUGUUUUCUCAGAUCAGUUAAUUGUAUUUUUGCUUUUAAAGCUUGAUAUCAUGAGUUGAAUGAUAAUUUUUAGCUCGAUACACUUUAUCUCAAUGUGAUGUUUAAUAUAUGUGUGAAUUAGCUGUGUUUGUUGGUUAUAGAUAUAUCUGUGAGGUUUUCACCUAUGUAAGUCUGACAUCUUUUUUGUUUGUUUGUUUGUUUGUUUUUUAGUUUCAGAUAGGCUUUUUUUUUAAAAGAGAAUUUUAAAACAGAGUAAAAAGAGCAGAAAUCAGUUAUUUGUCCUCUUGCAGGGUGGGGAGAUAACUUCCUUCCCCACAGGUUUGAGGCUAUGGCUAAGUGGUGAGUCUUGGGGAGAUGCAGAAAUGAUCCAUCCCAGGCACUUGGCUGGACUUAAGUAAGCACAGCCUUUGGGCCACAAGACCUGAUGGCUUCGGUACUGGUCUGGACAUAAGUCCCCAUCUACCCAGAAAUGUAGUCUUUUGUCUGCAACAACUGGCUGGAGAAAUAUUUCAGAAAGAUGUGUGUCUGGAACACCCAAAGGCAUACCUUUCCUUUCUCCUUGGCAUAGGCCUUGCUGCACUGAGGAAACACCAGGUUUGCAAUGGAGCCUUCAAGAGUCUUCAUCCCUAUGGAGCUCAGGGGCUCAUAGGGUGACAGGAGAGGAGACAAGCUAACUUGGGAAGUAUUCAUCCUUCAGCUUCUCCCCCACUGAAACACUAUAUAUUAGGGCCACAGUUCAUGGCAAAACAUACAUGCUCUCUUUCUUUCUCUCACACCUACAUCUCGGGAACCCAACAACUUGAUGGCAGGUAGCUCUGGGUAUCCUUGGUCUGGCAUUCACCCACUGGGCAUCUAAGCUGUGCUAAAGCUCUUUUCAAUCAUUUCUUACUCUUUCCAGGCCCAUGUGGGUAGGUGUUCCAGCCUUCACUCUUUCAGGCUGAUCAUAAAGGCACAGUGUGGGAAAAUCCCCUACUGUGAUGGCCAUUGCUGGGAAGCAGGGAAGGCUAAGGGCCCACUGCUGCCCAAGGCUAGUGUAGACACCAUCUGCUCCAGUCGUCUCCUCAAAGAUUGAUAUCAGGUGCAGCAGCUGCUGUCUGGAAUGUUAUCAAACCAGGCCUGCACAGGCACUGAAUUCUCUGUGUGGAAGAUGUAAGAAGCAGGCGAGUUGUCCAGGAUGACAGUUUUCCUCAGGUCCGUCCCCAGAUGGCUAAGGUCCUUGACAUAGCAGCCCUGGUGGAACAAACAUGACUCAUGGGCUAGGCCACCCCAGAACACCCCACACUGGUCCAGCACACCCAUCACAGUGUGUUCGGAACUGGUAGUUUCUUAUUCUCACUGACUUCAAGAAUGAAGCUGCAGACCCUCAUGGUGAGUGUUACAGUUCUUAAAGGCGGCAUGUUCGGAGUUUGUUCCUUCUGACAUUCGGAUGUGUUCAAAGUUUCUUCCUUCUGAUGGGUUCGUGGUCUUGCUGGCUCAGGAAUGAAGUUGCAGAUGUUCGUGGUGAGUGUUACAGCCCUUAAGGCGGCACGUCUGGAGUUGUUCUUUCCUCCCAGUUGGUUUGUGGUCUCGCUGGCUUCAGGAGUGAAGUCGCAGACCUUCACGGUGAGUGUUACAGCUCAUAAAGGCAUUGUGGACCCAAAGAAUGAGCAGCAGCAAGAUUUAUUGCAAAGAGCAAAAGAACAAAGCUUCCAUAGUGUGGAAGGGGACCCGAGUGGGUUGCCACUGCUGGCUCGGGCAGCCUGCUUUUUUUCACUUAUCUGGCCCCACCCACAUCCUGCUGAUUGGUAGAGCCAAGUGGUCUGUUUUGGCAGGGCUCUGAUUGGUGCGUUUACAAUCCCUGAGCUAGAAACAAAGGUUCUCCUUGUCCCCACCAGAAUACCUAGAUACAGAGUGUCAAUUGGUGCAUUUACAAACCCUGAGCUAGAUACUCAGUGCUGAUUGCUGUAUUUACAAUCCCUUAGCUAGACAUAAAGGUUCUCCACAUCCCCACCAGACUCAGGAGCCUAGCUGGCUUCACCCAGUGGAUCCUGCACCGGAUCUGCAGGUGGAGCUGUCUGCCAGUCCUGCGCCGUGCGCUCGCACUCCUCAGCCCUUGGGUGGUUGAUGGGAUUGGGUGCCGUGGAGGAAGUGGUGGUGCUCGUUGUGGAGUCUCCGGUCACACAGGAGCCGAUGGAGUGGGGGAGGUUCAGGCAUGGCAGGCUGCAGGUCCAGAGCCCUGCCCCGUGGGAAGGCAACUAAGGCCCAGUGAGAAAUUGAGCACACCAACUGCUGGCCCAGGUUCUAAGCCCCUCACUGCCCAGGGCCGGUGGGGCAGGCCGGCCACACCGAGCGCGGGGUCCAACGAGCCCACGCCCACCCGGAACUCGCGCUGGCCCGCAAGCACGGUGCGCAGCUCCAGUUCCCGCCCGCACCUCUCCGUCUACAACUCCUCGCAAGCUGAGGGAACCAGCUCUGGCCUUGGCCAGCCCAGAAAGGGGUUCCCACACUGCAGCGGCGUGCUGAAGGGCUCCUCAAGUGCCGCCAAAGUGGGAGCCCUGGCAGAGGAGGCCCCGAGAGCGAGUGAGGGCUGUGAGGACUGCCAGCACAAUGUCACCUCUCAACAGGAUCUGCAUACUUGUUCAGGCUGGAAUGAAGACAGCAAUGAAAAAAACACAUUUAAGAAGUUGCUCCUGUCAUCUCAGGAUCUUAUCCAUAUAAGGCCUCAUGAGCAAAUGGAUCUGGUGUCUGAUCCCCUCAAUCUCUACAGGCAUUAGGCAGUCAGCAUUGCUGAAUGCCUUCAAGGAGCUAUGAACAAGGGUUUCAUCCAGGUCAGUGCUCACACAGAUCCUUCCUUGAUUUUUCUCUGUCACCUCUGGGAGCAGGCAGGUUCCUGGGAUCUGAUAAAACUGAUAAUGGAGACUCUGGAGCUCAUCCGACUUAGCAAUGGUGUUGACUUCCUAAUUAUGUGUGAAGAGCUUAGCAGGGGAACGUGACUGGCCAACAUGCUGGGUGCAAGAAGAGCAGAAAGGGGCCUUCUAAGGUGUGACAAACAUGAGACCUCUUCGGAGAGCACUUUGGAAACCAGGACUUGCUUGGUAAGGACCAGGGCGUCUUCCCUCCAUGCCUGGGUGAUGAUGGAGCCUUGUUCCAUCUAACAAUCCUGAGGGCUGGGCAGGCUGUGGGGGAAACCUGGCUGGCACGCUGGCUGGACUGGGAUGGGGGGCAUGGGCUGGGGCCUGAUUCAGUUCCCGAGAGUCUGAGUUCCACAGCUGUUCACAUUCCCCCUCUCCUUUCCAUCACUGGCCGGGAAGGGAGGCGGCCUGUAGGGACGGCGGACAGCCUUGGCAGCGGCUCCCCAGGAUGCCCCCAGCCCUUAUUCUCCCAGCGGGAGCUUCAGGAUCCUCAGUUUGUUUCUAACAUAGAGAAUCCACCAGAUAUGCAUUUUUUUUUCAACUUUUAUUUUAAGUUCACGGGUCCAUAUGUUAUAAACUUUUUUUCAACUUUUAUUUUAAGUUUAGGGGUCCAUGUGCAGGAUAUGCAGGUCUGUUACAUAUAUAAACGUAUGCCAUUGUGCUUUACUGCACAGAUCAUCUCAUCACCCAGGUACUAAGGCCAGCAUCCGCAGCUAUUCUUCCUGAUGCUCUCCUUCCCCUCCCUCAUGCCAUGAAACAGGUGUCCAGUGCGUGUUGUUCUUCCUAGUGUGUCCAUGUGUUCUAAUUGAUCUGCUUCCGCUAAUAAGUUAGAAUAAUAAUAGGUGGUGUUUGGUUUUCAGUUCCUGCAUUAGUUUGCUGGGUUUAAUGGCUUCACACUCCAACCAUGUCCCUGCAAGGGACAUGAUCUCAUUACAUUUUAUGGCUUUAUAGUGUUCCAUGGUGUAGGUGUACCACAUUUUCUUUAUCCAGUCUAUCAUUGAUGGGCAUGUAGAUUGAUUACAUGACGUUGCUAUUGUAAAUAGUGCUGCAAUGAACAUAUGCAUGCAUGUAUAUUUAAAAUAGAUUUCUAUUCCUUUGGGUGUAUACCCAGUAAUAGUAUUGCCGGGUCAAACGGUAUUUCUGCUUCUAGGUCUUUGAGGAGUCUCCACACUCUCUUCCACAAUGCUUGAAAUAAUUUACACUCUCACCAACAGUGUAAAAGUGUUCCCUUUUCUCCACCACCUCACCAGCAUCUGUUUUUAUUUUUUUUUUACUUUUUAUUAAUAGCCAUUGUAAUUGGUGUGAUAUGGUAUCUCAUUGUUGUUUUGAUGUGUAUUUAUCCAGUUAUCUGUGACGUUGAGCUUUUCAUGUUUGUUGGGCACAUGUAUGUCUUCUUUUGAGAUAUGUCUGUUCAUGUCCUUUGACCACUUUUUAAUGGGGUUGUUUGUUUUUCUCUUGUAAAUUUCAAGUCCCUCGUAGAUUCUGGGUAUUGGACGUUUGUCAGAUGGAUAGGUUGCAAAAUUUUUCUCCCAUUCUCUAGGUUCUCUGCUCUAAUGAUAGUUUCUUUGGGUCUGCAGAAGCUGUUAAUUUAAUUAGACCCCAUUAGUCAAUUUUUGUUUUUGUUGCUAUUGCUUUUUGCCUUUUUGUCAUCAAAUCUUUCCUCCUGCCUAUAUCUUGAAUGCUAUUAUCUAUAUUUUUUCUUCUAAGGUUUUUAUAGUUUUAGGUUGUACAUUUAAGUCUUUAAUCCAUAUUGAGUUAAUUUUUGUCUAUGGUGUUAGGAAGGGUUCCAGUUUUAAUUUUCUGCAUAUGACUAGUCAGUUCUCCUUGCACAAUUUAUUGAAUAGGGAGAUCUUUCCCUAAUUCCUUGUUUUUGUUGACUUUGUCAAAGAUCAUGUUGUUGUAGGUUUUUGGCUGUAUUUCUAGGCUCCCUAUUUUGUUUCAUUUGUCUAUGUUUCUGUUUCUAUACCAGUACCAUGCUGCUUUGAUUACUGUACCAGUAUAGUUUGAAGUUAGGCAGUGACGCUUUCAGCUUUUUUUUUUUUUUUUUCUUAAGGUUGGCUUGGCUAUUUGGGCUCUUUUUUUGUUCCAUAUGAAUUUUUAAAGUUUUUUUUUUUUCUAAUUCUCUGAAGAAUGUCAGUAGUUCAAUGGGAAUAGCAUUGAAUCUAUAAAUUACUUAGGGCAAUAUGCUCAUAUUCAUGAUACUGAUUCUUCCUCUCCAUGAGCAUGAAAUGUUUCUACUUUUGUUUUGUGUCCACUCUGAUUUCUGUAAGCAGUUGUUUGUAGUUCUCCUUGAAGAGGUCCUUCACUUUUCUUCUUAGCUGUAUUCCUAGGUAUUUUUUUUCUCUUUGUAGCAAAUGUGAAUGAAAGUUCAUUCAUUAUUUGUCUCUCUGCUUGCCUGUUGUUUGUGUACGGGAAUGCUAGCUACUUUUGCACAUUGAUUUUAUACCCUGAGAUUUUGCUACUGUUGCUUAUCACCUUAAGAAGCUUUGGGGCUAAGAAGAUAAGGCUUUCUAGAUAUAGGAUCAGGUCAUCUACAAACAAAGAUAAUUUGACUUCCUCUCUUUCUAUUAGAAUACUCUUUAUUUCUUCCUCUGUCCUGAUUUUCCUGGCCAAGGUUUCUGAUACUGUGUCGAAUAGGAGUGGUGAGAGAAGACAUAAUUUUCUUGUGCCAGUUUUCAGGGGGAGUGUUUCCAGCUUUUGCACAUUCAGUAUGAUAUUGUCUGUGGGUUUGUUGUAUAUGGCGCUUAUUAUUUUGAGGUAUGUUUCCUCAGUUCCUAGUUUAUUGAGAAUUUUAAAUGUGAAGGAAUGUUGAAUUUUAUUGCAUACUUUUUCUGCAUCUAUUGAGAUAAUCAUGUGGUUUUUGUAUUUACUUCUCUUCAUGUGACGAGUCACAUUUAUUGAUUUGCAUAUGUUGAACCAACCUUGCAUCCUGGGGACCAAGCCAAUUCCGUUGUGGUGGAUGCACUUUUUAAUGUGCUGCUGGAUUUGGUUUGCCAGUAUUUUAUUGAGAAUUUUUGCACGGUGUUCAUCAAAGACGUUAGCAUGAUGUUUUGUUGUUGUUGUUUUUGUAUCUAUAUUAGGUUUUGGUAUCAGGAUGAUGCUGGCCUGGUAGAAUGAGUUAGAAAGAACAUCUUUGUUUUCAAUUUUUUUGGGGUAGUUUUAGGAGAAAAUGUACCCUCUCCCCUUGUACUUCUGGUCAAAUUCAGCUUGCUUGGUAGGCUAGUUUUUACUGCCUCAAUUUCAGAACACAUUAUUGAUCUAUUCAGGUUUCAGUCUUGUGAAGGGUUUUUUUUUUGCAAUAAAUUGUCCAUUUCUUCUAGAUUUUCUGGUUUAUGUGCAUAGAGGUGUUUAUAGUGUUCUCUGAUGUUUGUUCUUAUUUCCAUGGGAUCAGGGAUGAUGUCUCCCUUAUUAUUUCUCACUGUGUUUGGUUCUUCUUUCUUUUCUUAUUUAUUUGUCUAGCUAGUGUUCCAUCUAGUUUAUUAAUUUUUUACAUAAAACAGCUCCUGGAUUGGUUGAGUUUUUUUUUUUUUUUUUGGAAGAGUUUUCAGUGUCUCUAUGUCCUUCAGCUCUAUUCUGAUCUUGGUUAUUUCUUGUUUUCUGCUAGCUUUCAGGUUCUUUUUCACUUGGUUUCCUUGUUCUUUUAAUCAAGAUGUUAGUCUGUUAACUUUAGAUCUGUCUAGGAAUUUUUUUUUUUUUUUUCUUGUGGGAGAGUCUCACUCUGUUGCCCAGGCUGGAGUACAGUGGCAUGAUCUCGGCUCACUGCAACCUCCGCUUUUCAGUUUUAAGUCAUUUCUGCUGUCUCAGCCUCCUGAGUAGCUGGGAUUACAGAUGUGCAUCACCACACUCAGUUAAUUUUUGUAUUUUUUUGUAGAGAUGGGGUUUUGCUAUGUUGGCCAGGCAGGUCUUGAACACCUGGCCUCCAGUGAUCUGUCUGCCCCAGCCUCCCAAAGUGCUGGAAUUACAGGCAUGAGGUACUAUGCCCAACCCUUUCUAGCUUUUUGAUGUGGACAUUAGUGCUAUAAAUUUCCCUUUUUUCUUGGUUUCUAGUGAUUAUUUUAUUCCAUCUUGGUGAGUAGUCAGGGAAAUAAUCGUAAAUUCACAAUCAACUUAUAGUUAAAUCUAAACAAUUAUGUGAGGAGAACCCUUUAUUAUUUGAAGGGGAUGUUUGAAGAUUUUGUAACUGUGCCUUUUAGGUAGUCUUAAGUUUCUAAUUGUCGUUAAAAACAUGCCAUUGUCAUUUCUAACAUUUUAAGUAUAUGGUUUAGAAGUCGUAAGAAUAGUUCUAUUGUUUUGCAAUAGGUUUUAGAUAAUUUUUGUCUUACAAAAGUAAAAGUGAAUACUCAUUACUUGUGAAAGAAGUUAGUUAGCUUGCUUUAGGUAGGUAGCAACAGAAGGGUCCCUGGAAAGUCCCUGGACCUUGGGUCAGUGUCUCAUCCCUGCAUAAUAUAAAAUGAAUCCUGGAAAAAAUCAAGCUGCAGACACCAACAAGGGAACUAGCACUUGGUGUUGUGCUUGGAGACCUGCCCACGGCUGCACAGAUAGAAAAACCUCCGGCCCAUUUGGAUAGAAACUUGUACAAACCUCCAGCCCACUUAGUUAAGGGAACAAGACCGAACUGGAAUAGAAAUGCCGUUGUUUGUCCAGGCACGGUGGCUCAUGCCUGUACUCUCAGCAAUUUGGGAGGCAGAGGAGGGCGGAUCACCUGAGGUCGGGAGUUCGAGACCAGCAUGACCAACAUGGAGAAACUCCGUCUCUACUAAGAAUACAAAAUUACCCGGGCAUGCUGUCGCAUGCCUCUAAUCCUAGCUACUUGGGAGGCUAAGGCAGGAGAAUCGCUUGAACCCAGGUGGCAGAGGUUGCUGGGAGCCGAGAUCGCACCAUUGCACACCAGCCUGGGCAACAAGAGCAAAACUACAUCUCAAAAUAAAUAAGUAAAUAAAUAAAUAAAUAGAAGAAAGUACAUCUCAAAAAAAAAAAAAUGAAAGAAAGAAAGAACAGAGAAAGAAAAAAAGAAACGCCUUUGCCCUUUGUACAGUCAGUGGACUCCCAGGAAAAAGUUUCUUCUCCUUUUGUGGGCAUAAGCACAGUGGGCUCUGGUGCAUUCCGGUCGAUACUCUCCUUUAUUUGAACUGUAAGUCUGAUCUCUAUGAAUAAUUACUUCAGCCCGUAAUUGCUCCCUGGCCAAGCUGCUUGGCCAAGAUUUCACCUUAUCUUCUGAUAAGUCCUGGGCCAAGCUAAGUAGCAUCUAUGAAUCAUCCCUUCAGCUCCUGAUUGGUACCGGGCCAAAGUCAUGGGUCAAGCUAAGCCACACGUUUUUCAAGACGGCCUGUGAACUAUGCACAUUCCCUUCCCUUCCCUUCCCAGUCCAUAAAAACCCUGGACCCCAGCCUCAUAGAGGGCACCCCGUUCAGACACCUAUCUCUGCUGGCAAAGAGCUUUUUUUUCUUGCUUAUCAAACUUUCACUCCAACCUCACCUUUGUGUUCAGGCUCCUUAAUCUCCUUAGAGGUAGAAAAAAGAACUCUGGGUGUGAUCUCAGACUACGAGAUACUGUUACAUCUUAGUGCACUGCUGAGACUACAACACUUGGUUUCUAUGAGUUUGACUGACUAAAUAUUUUAUGUAAGUGUAAUUAUACGGUUUUCCUUUUUGACUGUCUUGUUUUACUUUACCGAAUGUUUUCAAGAUUUGUCCUUAUUGUAGUACUUUUCAAGAUUUCCUUAUUUUUAAGGCUGAAUGCUAUCCCAGUGAAUAUACCUGCCCUGUUUGUUGAAUCUACUCAUCCUUAAAGGGACAGGAUCUUGCUCUAACACCCAGACUGGAGUGCAGUGGUGCAAUCCUAGCUCAAUGGAAGAGAGACUAUCCCUGUCUUUACACCUGGUAGUAUUUCCAAGAGAAAGCUGUGAGAUUCUGCUUCAAAUCACCUCUCAAACAAAUAAAAAACAGACUUGGGAAAGGUACUACACUCAUUCUGCUGAAGAAAUUGAGCAAGAAUGAUUUCUAAGACCCCGAACUCCAGAUAUGCGAUGGGGCAAAUCCUGAAGUGUACAUGGAUAUCUCUCACAGCUAAAGCAUCCCUCACCCCUAUCCAGCGCUUCUUACUCCUGCCACAAGAGAAUCACCUGCGGGGAGGAAAACUUUCAAAAUCCCUAAAAUCGAAGUUGUAACCGAUCAAUUAAAUCAGAAUCCUUGGAGUUGGGUCUGCAAAAAAUACGGUUUAAAGCUGUGCAGGUGAUUACAAUAUGUAGGCAAGCCACAAAAUCGUGGCUUUAACCAGCAGCUUUUGUUAGAAAUGAUUUCUCAAAUGAAUGUAAAAACGUUUGCUGCUGAAUUGUGACCUUCCAAUUUUACUUGCUUUUCCUACAAUGUAUAUUUUGCAGACCCAGGCUUGCUUCUCGUCCUGUUCCUGAUUCACCCAGUGCCCUGUGUAUUCAGUGCAUCCUGUGCACGGGUCACUGUGCUGUGUACCCUGGCCUGGGUGAGCAUCAUUCUUCGGGGAGAACCUUUCUGAAAACAAAGCUGCAUUUCAAAAAAUUAAAACCAUGCUACUUACUGUAUUGAGGUGAAAAUUAAAAGACCUAAGGGACUCAUCCAAAAUUUAAAACAUAAAUAAAUAACUUGGAACAUUAAUAUACACCUGAUGAUGUCCUGAGUGAACAUGCCCCACUUUAAAACAAAACAAAACAUUACUAUUAUUCUAAAAUAUUAAUUUAGGAUUGUUAUGAAAAUAUGUACUAUUUAAAUUUUUAUUGGUGUAUAACAUGCAUACAGCAAUAUAGGAACAAAACAUUUAUGGAAUGCUUGAUGAAUUAUUACAAAAUAAAUACACUUGUGUAUCUAAGAAUCAGAUUUGUUCAUGCCCUUGACACUUUCUCCUUUCCAAAGGUAACCAAGAUCUUAAGAGCUAAGUGCAGAUAAACUUUGUCAUUUUCUACAAGUGUUUUAUUACACAUCAUUAAAAAUGUAUACGCAAUACAAAAAAAGUAUAACAGACCAGUCACCAAGCUUUAACAGCUACUAGUCAUGUGUCAUUUUUGUUUCACCUAUACUUCCAGCCAUUCCCACUCCAAUUUCAUUAUUUUUUAGGCUUUUUGGAUAAAAUAUAUAUUCAUUGCAAGGCACAAUGUGAACUGUAAAUAGUAGAGAGAUGGGGUUUCACCAUGUUGGCCAGGCUAGGCUUGAACUCCUCACCUCAGGUGAUCCACCCCCUUCAGCUUCCCAAAGUGCUGGGAUUACAGGCAUGAGCCGAUAUACUCGGCCUGAGAAUUCAUAUUUCUAACAAAGUACAAAUCCAUAGGGCGCACAUGACCACUGCAAUGUCUGUCUACAGUAAAUACAGUUUGAUGAAUAAAAUGAAAGGCAAUUGACCUAAGGUGAAAAAAAAACACAAAAAACAAUCAAACCAUGGGUAGUAUGUGCUAUCUGUAAGAACAUUUGGUUAAGAAUAACAAACCAGUUUUAUCAUUUUAAUAACAAAAAUUGACAAAAUUUCUAGUUUUUCUUUCAUAGAAAUGCUCUUUGCAAGAAAAAAUUUUCAUAUAGUGAGAGCAAAAAUGACAACCAUUUGCAAGUAAAUGUCUUAUGAAAUUAAGUAGCAGAUAUCAUCAACCUCAAUACCUUCAGAUAGUUACCCCUAACUCAAUCAUUUACAUACCAAGUGCAGAUAAUUUUCAUAGUUUCCUAUUAAAAUUAUAUUUUAAUGCCUUACAAAUUGUGACUGUUUUUAAAGUUCACCAACUAAAAUUUUGUAUAUGACAUAUGAUAAAUUCCACUUCAAGUCACCUUACAUUUACUUAAUUUUAUUAGGCAGUGUCUGUCUACCACCCAGUAAUACGUGGGGAUUCUCCCUCCAUUUGCACAGACAUCAUAGCUGGGGAACAGGGAUUCACAAGACCCAGGCUGUUCCCUACAUAUUUUUCCUCCUCAGACAUCAGUUCAUCAGUCAAUCAAGUCAUGUGAGAGUGGAGGCCAUGUAUUCCAUAUUCUUGGGCACUCUCCUCCAAGGAGGAAAAGGCCAGGAGGUCCUAUUAGAGGAUGCACUCUGAGAGGCUGGGCUCCUAAGGUGUGAGAGUUCUAACCAGCAGGUGUAGACUUUUCAGGAGUGAGGAAUGAGGCAGGUAUUCCAAACCUGGAGCUUCAUCACCUUUUGUUUCAUCUCAAGACAAUUCUGAGGCGCUGUUUUGGAACGUGUCUGGAAGGUGAACGUUGAAGAAGAGUGUGGGCUUUGAUGUGACUCAGAUGAGAUCUUUCUUAGGGAGGCAAGAAUUCAAUGCCCAGAAUCUGGGCAGGUGUCUUUGAGGUCAGUAGGUUGCCUCUUUGUAUCCAAGUCCAUUGCUACUAGGUUGGGGGCUGGGGAUUCUAAAUGGCUUCCAGACCGCCUCUCUGAUUCUCUUUUGGAGAUGGGGUCUGAAAAAGACAAUGUCAGUAUUUUUCGGAAAUUCUAGAAAGUCUGUUUGGAAACCUAGGAAGACCUCUUGCCUAGUGCCUAAAUGCUCCAUUUGCAGCUCUAGCCACGUAGAUGCUUGGUAGGUAUAGAGCUGGGUUUGCAUUUAUAUCAGCAAAACCUAUGUCAGAGUUGAAGAAGUAGUAAGGACAAAGUGUCUUGGUCGCAGGCCGGGAAACAUCUUAAAAGCAAACUUCUAGCCUGCUGACUCUUGGCAAUGAGUGUUGGGUCCUGGCCAAAGUGCCUUGAAUGCAGCAUGAGGCCAAUCCAUAAAUCCAACUUCUAAUGGAGAAUUAUUAAUCUUUUUUCAUUUUGAAUCAAUCAGGGUGAAAUUACCUUGCUAUUGGUUUGCUUACUUUUUAUUAUUUCAUAUAAAAUCUAAGACAAAAUACAUUAAAUGCUUACUGACAUAUGUAUUUACUCUUCACCUGGCUGAUAAUAUCUCCCUAAUUUUAAACUUUCUUCCAUUUUGUAGGUUUCAACUUAUUUUAUUGUAAGAUAGUAUUAAAUCUAAUAUAGGCAUUGUCACUUUUACAUAUAAUUUUAUUUUAUUUCAUAUAUUUCCUAUUGGCUUUUUACAUUUAAAUUAUGGACUGUUUCAUCAUAUAAAAAGCUUCAUUUAUAUUUAAACAAUAAGUCUUUGGAUUUUUUUGUCUUGUAAUUUCCAUAUUACAUAGUAAUGAGAUAAACAUUAAUGUUUACAGGAUAUUUUAAAUUUUAGGUAAUUACUCAUUUUAUCCAUGUGAAAUUUGUUUUUUACUGCAUGUGCGGGUUGGAGAACUGUUUUCACUUCUGAUUCAUCUUUAUUCUUAUGUCCUCAGAGCUCAUACCUCUUGUAGUUGGGGGAUUGCAGUUUAUAAUUCCAAUAAACGGGGCAAAUUUAAUAAUAACAUAAUACAAAUGAGUUUGAACGGAGGACAGGUCUUCAAAGCAUACACAACAUGGGCCUACAUAUGUACAACAAUAAUAAUUUAUAAGUUACAGUUUGAAUAGAAAGUAAAAGUACGAAAAAUUUGUUAAAGAAAAUUAAAAUGGAGAUCAUGUCUCAAUAAUCUCUGAGCAGACAAAAUUAGUUAGGUCUCAUAAAUGAUCUCAACCUUCCUUGAUUUGCAAAUAUAAGCAAAACUUAAAUUAUUUCUUGUAGCUGCCUAUUCAAAAAACAGAAAUGAAGGUCAACCAAUCCGGUGCAGCCAACGACCUUAUAUAAAUAGAAACUGUUCAACAAGGUAAACAGACAAACAAAAAACAAUUUAAAAAGUUGUGCUACCACCAAUCAAAUGAUUUCUUUGUUUCUACAUUUUUCCAAUAUAUACUUGCUUCUUACACUGUCAAUGAAUCACUGAAUAUCUUUCUGUCUGAUAUUUUAUAAUUUUUCAAUUGCUCUUACUCAAAUAAACACUUUACAAUUUCA